AAAAACAUAGUUUGUUGUUUUAUUUAACAAAUCUGACCUGCCCGGUGAUAAUUUUAACGGCCGCAGUACCUUGACUGUGCAAAGGUAGCAUAAUCAAUUGGCUUUUAAUUAAGGUCUAGUAUGAAAGGAUAAACGGAUAAUAACUGUCUCUUAUAUUUAUUUUUAAAUUACUUAAGUAGUGAAAAUUCUACUAAAAAUAAAAUAGACGAGAAGACCCUUAGAGUUACGCGAAUAAUAAAAACUAUUUUAAAAUCGAAUUGUUGGGGCAACAAAAUUAAGCAAAUUAUAAAUCAAUUUACUUUUAAAAUAUAUAAGACGACUAAAAUUGUAAGAAUAAUAAACUACCUUAGGGAUAACAGCAUAAUUUCUUAAAGAUUGUGACCUCGAUGUUGGAUUAGGAACUAGGAAGUUUAACCAACUUUAUAGAUAGUUCUGUUCGAACUUAUAUUUACCUACGUGAUCUG
RNAcentral lists this ribosomal RNA (464 nucleotides) under Solatopupa guidoni. RNAcentral describes it as "partial 16S ribosomal RNA". The stretch from base 1 to 192 matches the Rfam family "Archaeal large subunit ribosomal RNA", at positions 1901 to 2143 of the family's 2987-position model. The record is from RNAcentral. Lineage: Eukaryota; Metazoa; Mollusca; Gastropoda; Stylommatophora; Chondrinidae.